GUGGAUUAGAUACCCUGGUAGUCCACGCCCUAAACGAUGUUUACUGGCUGAUGGGGAGAGAUCUUCAGUAGUGAAGCUAACGCGAGAAGUAAACCGCCUGGGGAGUACGGUCGCAAGAUUAAAACUUAAAGGAAUUGACGGGGACCCGCACAAGCGGUGGAUGAUGUGGAUUAAUUCGAUGAUACGCGAAGAACCUUACCUGCUCUUGACAUGCUAAGAAUUUUGCAGAGAUGCGAAAGUGCCUUCGGGAACUUGGACACAGGUGCUGCACGGCUGUCGACAACU
RNAcentral lists this ribosomal RNA (285 nucleotides) under uncultured bacterium. Its description in RNAcentral is "partial 16S ribosomal RNA". It matches the Rfam family "Bacterial small subunit ribosomal RNA", at positions 773 to 1060 of the family's 1533-position model. The record is from RNAcentral.